AACUGAUACUACCUGCGGGAACCUGCGGAGGGAUCAUUAACAAAUCAUUUGUAUGGGAAACCAUACAUAUUUACCCCAAGCCUAGGAUGUGCUUCGGCGCAACACUGGGCUUUGGUUGGGCUGCGCUCAUUCGUGAGGGCGGCUCCGGCAUGUAUGCUUCGGUGUACUAGCCACAUAGACGCUUGUAUGUUUGACAGUUUUAGUUGCUUUAAAAAUGACAACUUUCAGCAAUGGAUCUCU
RNAcentral lists this unclassified non-coding RNA (240 nucleotides) under soil metagenome. RNAcentral describes it as "partial contains 5.8S ribosomal RNA, internal transcribed spacer 2, and large subunit ribosomal RNA". The record is from RNAcentral.